CCCGCUACCGAUAAAAAGGAAAAAGACAAAAAACAAAAAACAAAACAAAAAAAAAAGAAAGUAUUUGGAUUGCACAGAGGGGUGCAGGGGUAACACCGACACAGCGCCCCACACGUGCUGCAGCAGGAGCACUUGCUCUCCCUAGGUCGACACAGACCCUGGUUCUGAUCCCAGCGCCGACCCCACGGGCUGUAUGAUCCAGGUAAGUGUCUCAUCCUCCCUGUGCCGUAGAUCAAGAGCCGCGAUGUGAAUCGGUUGAUAGGAUCCUCUAGUUGCCACCAGGGACACAGAGUGACAAUAGUCACUGCUUUGUUUGCUUUCUGGGAUGCCAGAUACAGGGUCUAAGCUCUUCAGGCCUCAGCCCUCCCCCCCCCCCAGGCCCCUGCAGCGCCUUAGGGGAAGGGUGCCCCUGGAGGCCUCAGCGGGAACCACACCAGCCAGGCACUGGACGGCUGUGGCUCAGGCCCACCUGCCCAGGCCCAGCCUGGCAGGUCCCCCACUGGGGGGGGGCAGGAAUGGGCACCUUUCUGCUCCUCCCUGUCGUGCAGAAAGUGGGGACACAGUUGUGAUCUCAGCUACCCCAAAGGCUGAGGCAGGACAAUCGCCAAAUUCCAGGCGAGCCUGGGCAGCUUAGCAGGCCCCCUGGCCCCAGGUGCUAGGUGUUGAAGGGCUGGGGAGGUGGUCCUGUGGUGAGCGCCUGGGGUUUGGUCCCCAGGGCCCUGUGAACAGAAGCAUACUGAAGAAGGCAAGAAACCAAAGACAGAAAAGGGACCCAAAGAACCCUCGUCCUGCACCAGGGCCUCACCCCAGCUCUGACCCCACCUCCUCCUAUGUCAACCCAGCCUCUGGCCAAGCGAGCUCCCAGCAGGAAACCCAGUCCAGCCCUGGUGUGCGUUCAGUAGGUGCUCAGUAAACGCACAGCUCACAGCCUCUCAAAGGUCAGGGGACCCAGGCUCAGCAGGGAAACGGGUGUGGGGCGCACGGAGGCCUGGGUGCCUCUGCAAUGCCACCCUAUCAGGGCUGCACACAGUGUGGCGAUGUGUUUUUUCCCCCCCUUUUCUUUCUUUCUCUUUUGUAGUUCCCAACCCUGGACCUAGGACACUGAGGUGCACCCCCAGCCUUUUUAAUUUAAUUUUAUUUUUUUAAAGUUUUGUAACAGGAUCUCACUAAAUCACUAAAUUGCCCAGGCUGGGCUCAAAUUUGAGAUCCUCCUGCCUCAGCCUCCUCAGAAACUGUGAUCACAGGCAUGCGCCACAAUGCCCAACUGCUUUCUUUUUUUGGUGCUGUGUAGUAGUUCCACAGCUCUGCUUCCAGCAGGGUUCUCUGUCCCUUUAAGAGGAGAAGCAGUCACUGUUUAAAUUUAUGCCUGGAAUUCCCCCGGCCUGCAUCGCGUGUCUCACGUGUCUCGGGGUCUCAUGGAGGUUUCCACCUCGCCGCACCUGGAAUGGUGAUGAGCUCACCGGCAGAGGGCGACAGAGUCUAUGUAGUCCAGGCUGCCCUUGAACCCUCAGAGAGCUUCCUGCCUCAGUGCUGGGUCAGGAGACCCAGGCAACCCACAGGCUCUCAUGGCCUUCGAAAAAACAGUCGGGUGAUGUUGGGCGCACGGGCACCGUGGGGGCUGAAGAGAUACCUGGGUGUCUAGGGGGCUCCAAGGAGAGGAGAGAAUGAGUUUGUGGACUGAAGUUCUCUGGAGAAGCCACAUGGACAGGAAAGGCCCCACUGACACUGACCUUAGCCUCCUCAUGCAGGGCUAAACCUCCAUGACUGGUGUGUCAGCUGCCUGGAAUGUGUCACCAGCUCCACACACUUUUGCCCCUCUGCGGCACGGGAGAAUGCCCCCCAGAUAACAUCUGAGCCCCAGGAGCGGGAAGCGGCCUGGGCCAGCUGUGUGUGGGCCACCUCCCUGCGGCUCACCUACCCCCUACAACUUCCUGUGUCCACUGCUACAGCGGGGGCAGUGUCCGCAGGCAAAAUAAACUGCUGGCCUGUGUCCUUGGAGGAGUUUCCUUUCUUCCUUGGUACCGGGAUGGAACCCAAGGCCUUCACACGGAGCCACAUCCCCAUCCUUUUUGAGACAGUGUCUCGCUAUGUCAUUAAGUUGCCCAGGCUGGGUUCCAACUUGAGACCCUCCUGCUUCAGCCUCCCAGAGCGCUGUGCUCAAAGGCGUGCACCGCUGGGCAUGGCCUCAGGGUCCUUGUGUCAUGGGGACAAAGUACCAAUCAAACAAGACUGUGAGGAAGGGAAACCGAGGCUGGUGGAAGUGAGGAGAGCCCUCGGGUCUUUUGGGCUGCUCAGGGCUCCAAAGGGCCCGUCAAGGUGUUGCCACCACAUGGUGAGACACAGGGCAGAGAGGAAGGGUCUUCCUGGCCCCUGAGGGUGCAGCCAACACCCUAUGGAGCCCCGCCUCAGCCUCCCCUUGGCACUGGCUGCAGUUCCCGUGGCUCUUGCCCCCGACACUGCUGAGUCUGAGGCAGGGGAGCCGCAGGUUCAGGGUUGGCCUGAGCCACUCAGGAAGACCCUGUUUCAAAUUAAAACCUAAGUAAACACAGAGCCAGACAACAGAUGAUAAAGAGACAGUGCGUCCUAAGGGAGGGGACCCUAGGGUCCAGGGUUCACUGCCCCUGUCCAGGACAGGCCUGGCCCCUUCCGGCCCUCCCUAGUUGUCCUGGGGAUGGGGAUUGAUGGCACUGCCGUGACAUGCUGGCUGCAUCACCUCAGAGCCUGGUUCAAACCACGGUGCAGGCUCCACUUGCUGUGUGACUCGGGCAGGUGCCUCGCUGUGUUUUGCCACAGAGCGAAGGGCGCAGGUGCAACGGGGUCUGCUUGUCACUGCCACCAGCUGAGGACAGAGGCCAGGACAGCCUCGGGCCACACACAGGACACACAGAUGGGGACAUCAAGCUUUAUUUGCUUUCCAGGACGCCAGGUGUGGGGUCUCCAGGAGCCCAGGGGUCCCUGACUCGGGGGGCCAGGAAGAAGCUACAGGGGGGCCUCUCUGGGGACUGAAAUCAGUCGCCAUGGGCAGCAGGGGUUUCCUAGAGACUUCAGUGGGGGCAAAAACCUGAGAUAUCGGGGCCCAGAUCAUGUGGGUUCUUGGAGUGGGUGGGAGGGGGAAUGGCAGUGGGCAGAGCCCAGCGCAAGGCCAGCUGGGGGAAGGGGGCCCUCAGGAUGAGGAAAGAUGUUCCGGU
Long non-coding RNA from Cavia porcellus (domestic guinea pig), 3188 nucleotides. RefSeq lists it as uncharacterized. The transcript is spliced from 2 exons. The record is from RefSeq and is a predicted model, not a curated record. Lineage: Eukaryota; Metazoa; Chordata; Mammalia; Rodentia; Caviidae.